AGAAUAUAUAAUUAAAGCCGCUAACUUUAAAAGUAACAAUAUGUUAAUAUUCUA
This 54-nucleotide transfer RNA is filed under the name Campodea fragilis. RNAcentral describes it as "tRNA-Ser". The record is from RNAcentral. Lineage: Eukaryota; Metazoa; Arthropoda; Diplura; Rhabdura; Campodeidae.